Molecule: long non-coding RNA, 3818 nt
Organism: Mirounga angustirostris (Northern elephant seal)
Lineage: Eukaryota; Metazoa; Chordata; Mammalia; Carnivora; Phocidae
Exons: 3
Source: RefSeq, a predicted model, not a curated record
UCUGUACACGGUAAUGCUGCUUCGCAGUUGCAUUUGUUUUACUAAAAGAGGGAGAUUUGAACAUUGGGUCUUUCGUGUCCUCUCCAUUCAUGUCCUCUCCACAAAUAAGACUGAAACAAAGGCUAAAAUUUGUUUGCAUCUUGUUUGUGUCUAUGUGUCCGUAUGUGUUAUACAUGUGAGGUAUUUCCUCCACCUCCGGGUGCUAUUGCUAACAUCCAUUUGUAAAGGAGCUCUAUUUAAUGAGUUCUAUUUUUAUUUUAUUUUAUUUUAUUUUAUUUAUUUUAUUCUUUAAAGAUUUUAUUUAUUUAUUUGACAGAGAGAGACACAGCGAGAGAGGGAACACAAGCAGGCGGAGUGGGAGAGGGAGAAGCAGGCUUCCCGCCGAGCAGGGAGCCCGAUGCAGGGGCUUGAUCCCAGGACCCUCGGAUCAUGACCUGAGCUAAAGGCAGACGCUUAACCACUGAGCCAUCCAGUCAAAAUAAUGAAGAAGAGGAGGAAGACAGGCCGAUGCUAGAAAUCUGAAAUCCACUCCUCCUCCUCCCCAAGUACAGGCACCAGAACCGAUGCCCAACCCACUGGCUUCCGGAGGGCUGAAAAGCCACCACAGACAAAGCCUAUUAAGCAGAAGGAGAUGAAGAAAGGGGCGGAGGCGGAGGCGGAGGCGGAGGCGGAGGCGGAGGCGGAGGCGGAGGCGGAGGCGGAGGCGGAGGCGGAGGCGGAGGCGGAGGCGGAGGCGGAGGCGGAGGCGGAGGCGGAGAAGAAAAAAAAGAAAAGGUUCGUCCAAAACUGUAAAUGUAUAUGUGCCCUGGGCCUUACCAAUGGCUCCCUUGCCGCCUCCCCUGCCCCGUUUCUGCACCACUGGUGUGUGUGCCUGGAGUGCUCUACUCCCCUGCCGCCGUCUCAGCCGCCCUUCCCUACCCCCGCCCCCCCGCCCCCCCCCCCCCGGGUGCCAUGGGCUCCCCUUUCUCCUCCUCCUCCUCCUCCUCCUCCCCACCCCCUUAUCAAGGAGCAAAAGCCCUUGCCCUUGGGCCCAAGCCCUUGGGCCACCUCCUUAUGAGGUUUAAAUUGGAGCACCUCCCAAACUAGCAGGAAGGGGCCCGAGGGCUCCGCUGAUCUUAGACCGCCCGCUUCAGACUUUCCCCAAGGAGUCUGAUGGGGGAAAACAAUCGAUUGACUUUUUAGUGGACGCAGGUGCAACUUCUUUGGCGUUAAAGCCAAUUCAAGGUUGUUGGUUUAUUUUAAAAAGACGUGGUUUUGGAGCUAUCAAUGUCACACAUAAUACAAAUAAUCAACUUUGCGUUUCUUUCUUUCUUUCUUUCUUUCUUUCUUUCUUUCUUUCUUUCUUUCUUUCUUUCUUUCCCUUUUUCUUUCUUUCUUUCUUUCUUUCUUUCUUUCUUUCUUUCUUUCCUUUUCUUUCUUUUCUUUGUCAUAAAAGCACUUGGAUUCGGUUCUCCCUGCGUUACAAGCCGUUGGGUGGGCAGUGGAAUGUGCCACGCUCCCGUCACAACAGUGAGCCUGUAUUUGUGGUUAUCAAAAUAUACCUCUCCAUCACCUUUAUAAAAACCAACCAACCAACCAACCACGUUUGGGUGCCUGGGUGGCUCAGUCGUUCAGCGUCUGCCUUCGGCUCAGGUCAUGAUCCCAGGGUCCUGGGAUCGAGCCCCGCAUUGGGCUCCCUGUUCAUUGGGGAACCUUCUUUUCCCUCUGUCCCUUCCCCUGCUUGUGUUCCCUCUCUCGCUGUGUCUCUCUCUGUCAAAUAAAUAAAAUUUAUGAAAUAUAUUCAUACAUUUGCCAAUCUAAAGAAUUCUGGUGUAAUAGAGAGUGCGCCAUUGGUUACUACUAACGUUUCACCAGAGACUGAGAUUUCUAAGAAUUAAAAUUCUGCCACAUGGAAUUGGGACUGCUACAAAAUGAUAACAAAAACAACUCCGUGUGUGGGAAGGUAGGAGACGUGUAAAAGAGGUACAAGAAAUGAGAAAACAUUUUUUUUGUUGAGGGAAAAGGAAGUAAUGGUGUACUGAAACGGGACUGGGUACUUAAAGAAAGAAAACUUUAAGACCGAGUCUGAAUGAAAAAGGAAAUUGUGGAAGGGGUUUGUGAAGGAGAAUUUUUGAAAAGGAAUUUUAUGCAUGGUCAGGACUGACUGAGCUUGGGAGAAGGCAGUUUGAAAAGCACACUGGUGGAACUGGAGGGUAUUAUGUUGAGCGAAAUAAGUCAAACAGAGAAAGACAUGUAUCCUAUGAUCUCACGGAUAGGAGGAAUUCUUAAUCGCAGGAAACAAGCUGAGGGUUGCUGGAGUGGGGGGUGGGGUGGGAGGGAUGGGGUGACUGGCUGAUAGACACUGGGGAGGGUAGGUGCUCUGGCAAGCGCUGUGAAUUGUGCAAGACUGUUGAAUCUCAGAUCUGUACCUCUGAAACAAAUAACGCAAUCUAUGUGAAGAAGAAAAAAAAAAUAGAAGAAGGUAGCGGGAGGGGACGAAUGAAGCGGGGGAAAUCGGAGGGGCGGACGAACCAUGAGAGACGAUGGACUCUGAACAACAAACUGAGGGUUCUAGAGGGGAGGGGGGUGGGAGGAUGGGUUAGCCUGGUGGUGGGUAUUGAGGAGGGCCCAUUCUGCAUGGAGCACUGGGUGUUGUGCACAAACAAUGAAUCAUGGAACACCACAUCUAAAACUAAUGAUGUAAUGUAGGGGAUUAACAUAAGAAUAAAAAAAAGAAGAAGAAAAGCACACUGGUAUAAGAUUGAGAUUUGGGUUUUCUAUGUUAAAAUGACAAGGUUUUCUUGGAUUGUUAGUGUACUCUUUUUUUCUUUCUUAAGAUUGUAUUUAUUUAUUUGACAGAGAGAGACACAGCGAGAGAGGGAACACAAGCAGGGGGAGCGGGAGAGGGAGAAGCAGGCUCCCGGCCAAGCAGAGAGCCCGAUGUGGGGCUCGAUCCCAAGACCCUGGGAUCAUGACCUGAGCCGAAGGCCGACAGACGCUUGACGACUGAGCCACCCAGGCGCUCCUCCGAGAUUUUAUUUUUUAAAUAAUCUCUACACUGAACGUGGGGCUCGAACUCACAACCCUGAGAUCAAGAGUCGUGCUCUCUACCGACUGAGCCAGCCAGGUGCCCCUGGACUGUCAUCUCGAAGAGACACAUGCGUAGACUCAGAUAUGGCCCUGCUACCAAAUACUGGCUGUCUCUGCAGAAGUCUGGACUCAAGGUCAACUGAUAAUGGCUGCAGCCUAUGAAGAAGCGAGGUCCUGAUUCCUUACCUGAGAAAAGGAGCCUAAGACCCCAUCCAGGUUGUACCAGCUCUCAGAGCAUGCCCACAGCCUCUUCUCCUUGUCCUCAGAUAACCUCCUGACAUCAGGGACUCAGUUUUGCCUCAUUCAGAUGUCAGGUCUCCACCCCGAAGUAAACAUGGGAAUCUAUGGUACAUAUGUUUCCUGAAUAUACGUGCUCCAACUUUCGCCAUGAAUAAUCAUAAAUGUCCCUGCCCUUUUCCUUUUUGAAGUUUGAUUGUUUGUUUUUAUUUAUUUAUUUCAGAGAGAGAGACACACAGAGAGAGACAGAGACAGAGAGAGAAACACACAGAGAGAGAGAGAGACAGAGAGACAGAGAGACAGAGAGACAGAGAGACAGAGAGCUUGCACGCAUGGGUGGGUGGAGGGGCAGAGGGAGAGGGAGAAGACUCCCCAUUGAGCAGGGAGCCCCAGAGGGGUGGGGCUCGAUCCCAGCACCCUGAGAUUAUGACCUGAGCUGAAGGCAGAUGCUCAACCGGCAGCCACCCAGGCGCCCCUCCAUUCCAUUUUUUUUUUUUAAAGAGAUAAACAUU